GAUGAACGCUGGCGGUAUGCUUAACGCAUGCAAGUCGAACGGACUCUUCGGAGUUAGUGGCGGACGGGUGAGUAACGCGUGAGAAUCUGGCUUUGGGUUCGGGACAACCACUGGAAACGGUGGCUAAUACCGGAUGUGCCGAGAGGUAAAAGAGAAAUUGCCUGAAGAUGAGCUCGCGUCUGAUUAGCUAGUUGGUGAGGUAAAGGCUCACCAAGGCAGCGAUCAGUAGCUGGUCUGAGAGGAUGACCAGCCACACUGGGACUGAGACACGGCCCAGACUCCUACGGGAGGCAGCAGUGGGGAAUUUUCCGCAAUGGGCGAAAGCCUGACGGAGCAAUACCGCGUGAGGGAGGAAGGCUCUUGGGGUGUAAACCUCUUUUCUUAGGGAAGAACAAAAUGACGGUACCUAAGGAAUCAGCAUCGGCUAACUCCGUG
This 435-nucleotide ribosomal RNA is filed under the name uncultured bacterium. Its description in RNAcentral is "partial 16S ribosomal RNA". It matches the Rfam family "Bacterial small subunit ribosomal RNA", at positions 28 to 507 of the family's 1533-position model. The record is from RNAcentral.